AGUGAACGCUGGCGGUAGGCCUAACACAUGCAAGUCGAACGGCAGCACAGUAAGAGCUUGCUCUUACGGGUGGCGAGUGGCGGACGGGUGAGGAAUACAUCGGAAUCUACUUUUUCGUGGGGGAUAACGUAGGGAAACUUACGCUAAUACCGCAUACGACCUACGGGUGAAAGCAGGGGAUCUUCGGACCUUGCGCGAUUGAAUGAGCCGAUGUCGGAUUAGCUAGUUGGCGGGGUAAAGGCCCACCAAGGCGACGAUCCGUAGCUGGUCUGAGAGGAUGAUCAGCCACACUGGAACUGAGACACGGUCCAGACUCCUACGUGAGGCAGAAGUGGGGAAUGUUGGACAAUGGGCGCAAGCCUGAUCCAGCCAUGCCGCGUGGGUGAAGAAGGCCUUCGGGUUGUAAAACCCUUUUGUUGGGAAAGAAAAGCAGCGGGAUAAUACCCCGCUGUUCUGACGGUACCCAAAGAAUAAGCACCGGCUAACUUCGUG
Molecule: ribosomal RNA, 492 nt
Filed under: uncultured bacterium
Lineage: Bacteria
Description: partial 16S ribosomal RNA
Rfam family: Bacterial small subunit ribosomal RNA
Source: RNAcentral